Molecule: ribosomal RNA, 427 nt
Filed under: uncultured bacterium
Lineage: Bacteria
Description: bacterial SSU rRNA
Rfam family: Bacterial small subunit ribosomal RNA
Source: RNAcentral
UGGGGAAUUUUGGACAAUGGGCGCAAGCCUGAUCCAGCAAUGCCGCGUGCAGGAUGAAGGCCUUCGGGUUGUAAACUGCUUUUGUACGGAGCGAAAAGGUCUGCCCUAAUACGGUGGGCUCAUGACGGUACCGUAAGAAUAAGCACCGGCUAACUACGUGCCAGCAGCCGCGGUAAUACGUAGGGUGCAAGCGUUAAUCGGAAUUACUGGGCGUAAAGCGUGCGCAGGCGGUUAUGCAAGACAGAGGUGAAAUCCCCGGGCUCAACCUGGGAACUGCCUUUGUGACUGCAUAGCUAGAGUACGGUAGAGGGGGAUGGAAUUCCGCGUGUAGCAGUGAAAUGCGUAGAUAUGUGGAGGAACACCGAUGGCGAAGGCAGCCCCCUGGGUCAAGAUUGACGCUCAUGCACGAAAGCGUGGGGAGCAAACA